AAGUCGUAACAAGGUUUCCGUAGGUGAACCUGCGGAAGGAUCAUUAACACGUAUCCAACGUUAAACCCCCCGUGAACCUUCAGUGCGCUCGCACUUUCUUAGAAAAGGUAGCAAUCCCUGGUAAAUCAUUGCCGAACAGUUUUGAUUCAGGGACUUCUGCGUAGACUGUGCUUGAGCGUGAGGCAAGUGGCCUGGCAUUCCUCUGCUUGUUGGUGUCUGAAAGUGUCACCAGCUCUGUACGAAUGGCGCAGUCACGAUCGCUAGCGGGUCACUGGGCGCGAGCCCCCCUCGUCACCUUUGCAUGAAAACGGGCCUGCGCUUAAUUGUGCGGCCACCAAACUCGAACAACUGUUAACAAUGGAUAUCUUGGUUCUC
RNAcentral lists this unclassified non-coding RNA (375 nucleotides) under fungal sp. RNAcentral's name for it is "partial internal transcribed spacer region". The stretch from base 1 to 46 matches the Rfam family "Eukaryotic small subunit ribosomal RNA", at positions 1786 to 1831 of the family's 1831-position model. The record is from RNAcentral. Lineage: Eukaryota; Fungi.